This is a long non-coding RNA of Anneissia japonica, 407 nucleotides long. RefSeq lists it as uncharacterized. The transcript has 3 exons. The record is from RefSeq and is a predicted model, not a curated record. NCBI's taxonomy places the organism in Eukaryota, Metazoa, Echinodermata, Crinoidea, Comatulida, Comatulidae.
GGAUGUAGCAGUAUCCUGCUUUCAGUCACGUCCGUAAUAGUUAACACACCCCCACACCACACCACACACGCGAUCGACCGUACAAAUUUCCAAUUUCAGCGACAUGCCUGGCUAGGCCUAGCCCGGAGAAUUUAAAUAGAACAAUGGAUCUUGAGUCUGCUAAAAAUGUUGUAUUAGAGACUCUGAUUGAAGCAUCAAGCCAAAAUGUUUCUCUUUUGAAGCCAGCAGAACAGAAGCUUAAAAGCUGGGAAACACAACCAGGAUUUUAUCCAAUCCUGCAGUCAAUUUUCAGUACGUACAGUGUUGAUGUUAAUGUGAGAUGGUUAGCUGUUUUAUACUUCAAGAAUGGUAUAGACAGAUACUGGAGGAAAACUGCCCCAAAGUAAGGAUUCUUUAAAGAUAUACUG